GGGCUCUUAGCUCAGCCUGGCUAGAGCACUUGGCUCUUAACCAAGGGGUCGGGGGUUCGAAACAACGAAUACUCGUUGAAGGCUAACGUUUGUGGGAUAUACGCUUUGCUUAAUCCCACUUAGUGGCUAAGAAUGGUGUUCGCUGGCGAAAGUCCCUCAGGGCUCA
Molecule: transfer RNA, 166 nt
Filed under: Nanobdellota archaeon
Lineage: Archaea; Nanobdellati; Nanobdellota
Description: tRNA-Lys
Source: RNAcentral